Molecule: ribosomal RNA, 137 nt
Filed under: uncultured bacterium
Lineage: Bacteria
Description: partial 16S ribosomal RNA
Rfam family: Bacterial small subunit ribosomal RNA
Source: RNAcentral
UGGGGAAUUUUGCGCAAUGGGGGAAACCCUGACGCAGCAACGCCGCGUGCGGGAUGACGGCCCUCGGGUUGUAAACCGCUUUCAGCAGGGAAGAUAUUGACGGUACCUGCAGAAGAAGCUCCGGCUAACUACGUGCC